Molecule: long non-coding RNA, 339 nt
Organism: Anoplophora glabripennis (Asian longhorned beetle)
Lineage: Eukaryota; Metazoa; Arthropoda; Insecta; Coleoptera; Cerambycidae
Exons: 2
Source: RefSeq, a predicted model, not a curated record
CCACGGCUUCAGGUGUUACAGCUGCCAAGGUGGGCCGCUCACGAAUUGCGCCGAAGCUUCGGCGAUAGGGGUGUACGAAGAUUGCGCCGGUCGUAACGCCCAAUGUUACGAGGCUCUGGUGGCAUAUCAAAGGGGCGCCCUCACGUUGGUCCAAAGAAGAUGUUGGCAGCCACCGAAAGGCUCGAACGACACGAAUUUCUGUGAUUCCUUCGACAAUCCCGUCGGGGAGUUAGGAAAAUGCAUAACUUGCACCACCGAUCUAUGCAAUACUGACAAGAAAUUCUGGUUGUAGUCUGAUACCGUUCAUGUAUAAUAAAUCAAUCAGUUUGAUCACUUGAA